RNAcentral lists this ribosomal RNA (234 nucleotides) under uncultured Gemella sp. RNAcentral describes it as "partial 16S ribosomal RNA". It matches the Rfam family "Bacterial small subunit ribosomal RNA", at positions 128 to 356 of the family's 1533-position model. The record is from RNAcentral. Lineage: Bacteria; Bacillati; Bacillota; Bacilli; Caryophanales; Gemellaceae.
GCCUCAUAGACUGGGACAACUAUUGGAAACGAUAGCUAAUACCGGAUAACAGCAUUAACUGCAUGGUUGAUGUUUAAAAGUUGGUUUUGCUAACACUAUGAGAUGGCUUUGCGGUGCAUUAGCUAGUUGGUGGGGUAAAGGCCUACCAAGGCGACGAUGCAUAGCCGACCUGAGAGGGUGAUCGGCCACACUGGGACUGAGACACGGCCCAGACUCCUACGGGAGGCAGCAGCG